UUUUUCGGUGUGCACACAGAUUGGAGCGGCUUGCGGCAACAUGUGAGCGACGACAGGGUAAAAAAGCUUCAGUUAAUACAUCUGUAGCUCGGAAAUAUGUGCGUUUUGUGCCGCACCAGGUUUUUGAAAUGGCGGAUAGUGGCGUUGAAAAUAUUGCGGUCAUCGAAUAAGCAGGAUAGCGGCGUUCCUGCCUUCAUUCUUCACUUACGGGACAUUUAGGAGUUUGUGUACACGCGAAGAUUCCGUCACUCAAGCCGUUUUUUCAGUGACUUUACGACGUGGAAGCAUCAGUCGGAAGACACGAAUGCCGUUGCCUUGUUAGUGGGAUGGAACCCAGGAAACGCUACCGCCAGUAUUUUGAACCGAGAAGCAGUGCAGGCAUCCCAAGACAAACCCGCUACAAUCAUCGGCGUAACCUAUCAGAAAACGUUUCGGAAGUUGUGGCACGCCUCUCGACAGCGACACUCAAGCUGACGCAGACCAUACUGGCUAUUUGUCACCUGUAAGCUCUUGCAGUGGAGAGGACUGGAAUGCUGAAGACGAGCCAAACACAGCUCUGGAAACAUCAAUGCUGAGGCACAUGAUCAUGGUGACACACACACUGAUGAAAACGAAUGUGAGAGUGAUGAAAGUAGCGACUGUGCUGAAGUGGAUGGGACUGAAGACAUAAUUGAUUUGGAUGGGACUUUGCCAAAUCUGAGCUCAAACAACAAAAGCUCAAGCAGUGCUCCUAAUUCUUGCUUAUGCAGUGUCCUCGGGCCUGACGUGGACACAGUUGGAUGGCCUCCUCAAAUUGAUAAAUGCUCUAUUUGGAGAGCAGGUCCUAGUGUUCUGGACUUCCAUUACUUUUGUGGAGAAUGUCAAACCUACCUGAAAAAGCUAAGAGGAAGAAGAAAACAUGGCAACCUGCAGUGUGCGCAGUGCGAAAGAAACUAUGCAGUAGAAGCUCUCACACGUGCUGGUAACUUCUUCAUAACCUUUGACAUACACACACAACUGAAGGACAUAUUUAAAGGUGCAAGUAACAUGCUUUACACAUCACUACAGAAGCUUCGACAACUAGGCACACGCAGUGGUUUCUCCGACAUCACAGAUGGUGCACUGUGUUGCAGGCUUCGUGAAAAACUAAACAUGUCUUGGUCUGAUAUAACAUUAACACUGAACACUGAUGGGUCCCCCCGUUUUCAACUCAAGCAAAUUUUCAAUAUGGCCUGUUGAGAUGAUGGUGAACGAGCUACCACCGCUUUAUUGAUGGAAGCACGUUCUCGUGUCUGCUUUAUGGUUCGCGAAAGAACACCCCCCAAUGCACCUUUUUCUGGAUGCUUUUGUGAGCGAACUAUCUAAAAUUAAAACUGUAUUCUGGAGGCAUGGAAAUGAAGUUGUGAAGAGCAAUGUGUAUCCACUCUGCUGGUGUGUCGACUCCCCUGCAAGAGCUGCCAUAUUAAAUCAGAAACAGUUCAACGGAUACUAUGGAUGUACGUGGUGCUUACACGAGGGAGUCCUAGUGAAUGAUGGACCUUGUCCCUAGGAGUACGUCGACCGUGUGACAAAAAGGCACUGCAGCCUUGCGACAAUGGGAUGACGUCACGGCCAAUGAGCAAGGCAAGCAGAGGGCGCAGGAAUUCACCUCCCUCUUAGCCUCUCACAGGUACGGUCGUGUUACUUCUCACACGUGGUCGCCGCAAGUGGAACUAGGAGCGCGCGCGCGCGCAUGCGUAGCACCCGUAGACGAGCCCCUGCGUCAAUCGAGCGCUGGCUCUCGCGGGGAGAAGACGUGCGGUCGGUCGCUCCGCCGUCAGCGCGCCGCAUCAGUUGAGCCCUGGCUGUCAAUGAGAGCGGAUGCCCCGUCGCCACGGGGGAAAGGUGAGUGAUUUGCCGUAGCGGUUAGGCAUUUUCCCUAUGUGUCUGCUCUUGACGGACUUCUACAUAUCUCUUCGCUCGCCUUAAGCCCUUUCCCCACAUGACCAGUGUAUGCACUGCCACGUGUUUAGAGUUUAUUAGCAGUGUCUUGUUGCAUUUUUACCAGCAGCUAGUACUUUUUUGUGUUCCAGGUAAACCGACAUGAGGCAAAACACUGCGGUUAGGCGUAAGCACCCGGAUGCCUAGCUCAGCGCUCAUCUUAAGCCAUUUCCCUCCCGAUGAGCAGCGUUUUGCACGUGAUAUCACAUGUUUAGACUUGUUUAGCAGUGCCUUUCUUGUUGCCAUUUUUACCCGCCACUAGUACUCUGUUGUUCUCUCUCUCUCUUUCACGCAUACCGACGUGAAGGUGGGGCCGUCUGGUGUGAUGCCUGGCAACUUGCUUGUCACCUGUCUCUGCAACCGUCGUGCCCAACGAUGUCCAGCCGCCCGCACCGGAGUGAUUUUUGCAAGAUGGCCUCAUUGAUUUUCAAAUAAAUUAUUUCUCUCUA
This is a long non-coding RNA of Ornithodoros turicata, 2408 nucleotides long. RefSeq lists it as uncharacterized. The record is from RefSeq and is a predicted model, not a curated record. Lineage: Eukaryota; Metazoa; Arthropoda; Arachnida; Ixodida; Argasidae. The transcript has 3 exons.